Hydra vulgaris (swiftwater hydra) is the source of this 179-nucleotide non-coding RNA. Lineage: Eukaryota; Metazoa; Cnidaria; Hydrozoa; Anthoathecata; Hydridae. The record is from RefSeq and is a predicted model, not a curated record.
AAAACUUGUUUUUUUUGUGUGUUUUUUUCUCAGGUUGGAGUAGUUAAUCUGUUCCUUUACAUGAUAAUGUAUUCUCAGAUGCAUCUUGUAAUGUGGUUGGAGUGUGUAAUCCGUCUUUUUUCAUGACAAAAUGGUUACUCUGAUGCAUUUUGUAAUGUGUUAAAAUAUUUUUUUAUACU